Molecule: ribosomal RNA, 253 nt
Filed under: uncultured Eubacteriales bacterium
Lineage: Bacteria; Bacillati; Bacillota; Clostridia; Eubacteriales
Description: uncultured Clostridiales bacterium partial 16S ribosomal RNA
Rfam family: Bacterial small subunit ribosomal RNA
Source: RNAcentral
UACGUAGGAGGCAAGCGUUAUCCGGAAUGACUGGGCGUAAAGGGUGCGUAGGUGGUUUGACAAGUUAGUAGCGCAACUCCGGAGCUCAACUUCGGAACUACUACUAAAACUGUUGGACUUGAGUGCAGGAGGGGCAAUCGGAAUUCCUAGUGUAGCGGUGGAAUGCGUAGAUAUCGCGCAGAACUCCGAUUGCGAAGGCAGCAUGCCGGCUCCACACUGACGCUGAGGCACGAAAGCGUGGGUAUCGAACAGG